GUACAGUCACUCCACAGGUCAUGCAGGGAGCCAGUCUGACGGCGGGCCGCAGCGAGUGUCUCCAGGCCCCUGUCCAGCCCCGCCCAGUCCCUGUCCAGCCCUGCCCGGGCGUUCCUUUGCCUGUGCUGUCGGUCCCCAUCCCCAGCCUGCCGGGCCACAUUCUUAGAGCACCUGAGCACCCCCAAGGGACUGGGGGAUCUGGUGGCUGAGGGCUCGGUCAUGACUCGGGGUUAGCACUGUAGGUGCAAAAGCCCUCACCUGGAUACAGGCCCUGGGGCCCAUCUGGGGUCAGGGCACGGGUGGGAGAACUUGACCUCUGCCCUGCCUGGGUCAUGGAGCCCCAAGGCCAGCCUCAUCCCGGCUGCUCUAGGUCUGCACCUCUGGCCAGCCCCACCUCUGCUUCCUGCCCUGCUGUGCAGGGGAGGGAGGUCGUUGUUGCUAAAGACCCUCCAGAAGCCACUGGAACAUUGCCCGGCUAUUAUCACAGACAUGGCAUCCAGUGUUCAUAGAAAUCCACGUCCAGGCAACCGAUGUCACCUCCCAGGCUGGCCCCAGGCCCCUGGGGACGGAAAGGACCUAAACUCUACAAUUUGUCAAUGCCGGAGGGUGGCUUUGCCACCACUUCACUUACAGGACAAAAAGUGCCUGUCCUCCAGUGCUCAUUCCCUGGGCAAGUAUUGAUCGAACACCUACUCCAUACCAGGCGGGGGCAGAGUCACAUGCAGUGAGAGGCACCCAGGCCCUGCAUUGGAUCCUCACGGCAGCCAGCCCUGAGGGCACCGCUGCUGCCCCACUUUCCAGACCGGGAAGCCGAGGCCCACAGAAGUUCCUAGCUCACAGCGCAGGAGCCCGACGCGGAGUGAGAAGGCCUGGUUCUGCUUCUGCGCUUCCGUAG
RNAcentral lists this long non-coding RNA (895 nucleotides) under Homo sapiens (human). RNAcentral's name for it is "HSALNT0235390". Lineage: Eukaryota; Metazoa; Chordata; Mammalia; Primates; Hominidae. The record is from RNAcentral.